Molecule: ribosomal RNA, 87 nt
Filed under: Collinsella sp. An268
Lineage: Bacteria; Bacillati; Actinomycetota; Coriobacteriia; Coriobacteriales; Coriobacteriaceae
Source: RNAcentral
CGGACCCGUUCCGAACCCGGAAGCUAAGACCCCUCGCGCCGAUGGUACUGCGGGGUGAGCCCGUGGGAGAGCAGGGCGCCGCUGACC